RNAcentral lists this ribosomal RNA (253 nucleotides) under uncultured bacterium. RNAcentral's name for it is "partial 16S ribosomal RNA". It matches the Rfam family "Bacterial small subunit ribosomal RNA", at positions 524 to 776 of the family's 1533-position model. The record is from RNAcentral.
UACGUAGGGUCCAAGCGUUGUCCGGAAUUACUGGGCGUAAAGAGCUCGUAGGUGGUUUGUCGCGUUGUUCGUGAAAACUCACAGCUCAACUGUGGGCGUGCGGGCGAUACGGGCAGACUAGAGUACUGCAGGGGAGACUGGAAUUCCUGGUGUAGCGGUGGAAUGCGCAGAUAUCAGGAGGAACACCGGUGGCGAAGGCGGGUCUCUGGGCAGUAACUGACGCUGAGGAGCGAAAGCGUGGGGAGCGAACAGG